Molecule: ribosomal RNA, 257 nt
Filed under: uncultured Glomus
Lineage: Eukaryota; Fungi; Glomeromycota; Glomeromycetes; Glomerales; Glomeraceae
Description: partial 18S ribosomal RNA
Rfam family: Eukaryotic small subunit ribosomal RNA
Source: RNAcentral
AAGCUCGUAGUUGAAUUUCGGGGUUAGUAGGUUGGUCAUGCCUCCGGUAUGUACUGGUCUCACUGAUUCCUCCUUCCUGAUGAACCGUAAUGCCAUUAAUUUGGUGUUGCGGGGAAUUUGGACUGUUACUUUGAAAAAAUUAGAGUGUUUAAAGCAAGCUAACGCUUGAAUACAUUAGCAUGGAAUAAUGAAAUAGGACGUUCGAUCCUAUUUUGUUGGUUUCUAGGAUUGACGUAAUGAUUAAUGGGAUAGUUGGG